Molecule: ribosomal RNA, 203 nt
Filed under: Pseudomonas sp. ATCC 13867
Lineage: Bacteria; Pseudomonadati; Pseudomonadota; Gammaproteobacteria; Pseudomonadales; Pseudomonadaceae
Description: partial 16S ribosomal RNA
Rfam family: Bacterial small subunit ribosomal RNA
Source: RNAcentral
GUCCACGCCGUAAACGAUGUCGACUAGCCGUUGGGAUCCUUGAGAUCUUAGUGGCGCAGCUAACGCGAUAAGUCGACGCCUGGGGGAGUACGGCCGCAAGGUUAAAACUCAAAUGAAUUGACGGGGGCCCGCACAAGCGGUGGAGCAUGUGGUUUAAUUCGAAGCAACGCGAAGAACCUUACCUGGCCUUGACAUGUCCGGAA